GCCUGAGGCACAUAGGUGGAGCACACAGCCUAGGCCAGAGAAACCCGUCUCAAAGAAAGCUGCAGGAACUUACAAGAUGACAGAAGGCAGGAGAAUAGAAUUCUAACAGGAUAUGGGAUAAAUCUAUCACCUUUACUCCAUGUCACUGCUGAAGAAUGUUUUUUGCUGGAUUCCCUAGGAAACAGAAGAGCAUGAAUGCUACAGCUUUAUUAGAGGGUGGGAGUUAAGGAUUGGGACUGCAAUCUCAAGACAGAGUAAGUGACGAAAAAAGGAAAGGGAAACAAGGAAGGAUUGCGAGCAAAUAAAGUUGGAGCAAUUUUGAGCAAGUCAGAACUUCAAAAGAAAAGCCAUGUCAGGCCGGGCAGGGUGGCUCAUCCCUGUAAUCUCAGCACUUUGGGAGG
Molecule: long non-coding RNA, 401 nt
Filed under: Homo sapiens (human)
Lineage: Eukaryota; Metazoa; Chordata; Mammalia; Primates; Hominidae
Description: HSALNT0041122
Source: RNAcentral